RNAcentral lists this ribosomal RNA (1413 nucleotides) under Physalaemus gracilis (graceful dwarf frog). RNAcentral describes it as "partial 16S ribosomal RNA". It matches the Rfam family "Bacterial large subunit ribosomal RNA", at positions 133 to 2594 of the family's 2925-position model. Lineage: Eukaryota; Metazoa; Chordata; Amphibia; Anura; Leptodactylidae. The record is from RNAcentral.
GCAGAAAAUUUAGCCCUAUUUUACUAAUGAAAAAAAUUUUUAUUUACUUAAACUAAAACAUUCUAAAAGCCCAGUAAAGGAGAUUAAAAAGCUUAAAGGAGCUAUAAAACAAGUACCGCAAGGGAAAAAUGAAAUAAAAAUGAAACAAAAUUUAAGCAUAAAAAAGUAGAGUUUCCCUCUCGUACCUUUUGCAUCAUGGUUUAACUAGCCUAAUCAAGCAAAAAGAACUAAAGUUUGACUUCCCGAAACUAAGUGAGCUACUUCAAGGCAGCUUAAUGAGCCAACCCGUCUCUGUUGCAAAAGAGUGGGAAGACCUUCAAGUAGGGGUGAUAGACCUACCGAACUUAGUGAUAGCUGGUUAUUCAAGAAAAGAAUAUUAGUUCAGCUUAAAAUCUCUCCGAUUAAAUAAAAUCUUAUCAAGAUUUUUAAGUAAUUCAAAUAAGGUACAGCCUAUUUGAAUUAGGGUACAACCUCUUCUAACGGGUAAUCUUUUAUCUUUAAAGAUAAGUAGGCCUAAUAGCAGCCAACUUUAAAAAAGCGUCAUAGCUUACCUUUACAGAAAUUUAAUUCCUUAAUUAAUAUAAAACCCUUUAUUUUUAUUGAAUACUUCUAUACCUCUAUAGAACAUUUUAUGUUAAAACUAGUAACAAGAAGACAGAACUUCUCUUUAAUAUCCGCGUAAAUCAGUAAGGACUAACCACUGAUAUUUAACGCCUAUGAACAGGAAGUAGUAACACUUCAAGAAAAAUCUACUUAAUUAACCGUUAACCUUACACAAGAGUAUUUAAAGAAAGAUUAAAAGAAAAGGAAGGAACUCGGCAAACAUUAACCUCGCCUGUUUACCAAAAACAUCGCCUCUUGUUUCCCAUAAGAGGUCUAGCCUGCCCAGUGACUCAUUUCAACGGCCGCGGUAUCCUAACCGUGCGAAGGUAGCGUAAUCACUUGUUCUUUAAAUGAGGACUAGUAUGAACGGCAUCACGAGGGUUAUACUGUCUCCCUUUUUUAAUCAGUGAAACUAAUCUUCCCGUGAAGAAGCGGGAAUUCAAUUAUAAGACGAGAAGACCCUAUGGAGCUUUAAACUAGACGGCAAUUAUUAUACAUUACUUCCCUUCAGGUAAAUAAUUAUUUUAAUAUUAUGCUCACCGGUUUUUGGUUGGGGUGACCACGGAGAAUAAAAUAACCUCCGCGAUAAAAGAAAUUUAAUUUCUUAACUCAGAAUUACGAUUCUAAGUACCAAAAAUUUGAUAUACAUUGACCCAAUUUAUUGAUCAACGAACCAAGUUACCCUAGGGAUAACAGCGCAAUCCACUUCAAGAGCCCUUAUCGACAAGUGGGUUUACGACCUCGAUGUUGGAUCAGGGUAUCCCAGUGGUGCAGCCGCUACUAAAGGUUCGUUUGUUCAACGAUUAAAAC